AAUUCGCCCUUAGAGUUUGAUCAUGGCUCAGAUUGAACGCUGGCGGCAGGCUUAACACAUGCAAGUCGAGCGGGGUGAUGUAGCUUACUACAUUACCUAGCGGCGGACGGGUGAGUAAUGCUUAGGAAUCUGCCUAUUAGUGGGGGACAACAUUCCGAAAGGAAUGCUAAUACCGCAUACGCCCUACGGGGGAAAGCAGGGGAUCUUCGGACCUUGCGCUAAUAGAUGAGCCUAAGUCAGAUUAGCUAGUUGGUGGGGUAAAGGCCUACCAAGGCGACGAUCUGUAGCGGGUCUGAGAGGAUGAUCCGCCACACUGGGACUGAGACACGGCCCAGACUCCUACGGGAGGCAGCAGUGGGGAAUAUUGGACAAUGGGCGAAAGCCUGAUCCAGCCAUGCCGCGUGUGUGAAGAAGGCCUUUUGGUUGUAAAGCUCUUUAA
RNAcentral lists this ribosomal RNA (439 nucleotides) under uncultured bacterium. RNAcentral describes it as "bacterial SSU rRNA". It matches the Rfam family "Bacterial small subunit ribosomal RNA", at positions 1 to 438 of the family's 1533-position model. The record is from RNAcentral.